Molecule: ribosomal RNA, 120 nt
Organism: Aotus nancymaae (Ma's night monkey)
Lineage: Eukaryota; Metazoa; Chordata; Mammalia; Primates; Aotidae
Source: Ensembl
GUCUAAGGCCAUACGAUCCUGACUGCACUUGAUCACUUCUGAUCUCAGAAGCUAAUCUGGGUCAGGCCUGGUGAGUACUUGAAUGGGAGGAAUACGUCUGACCCACAGCAGCCUUCCUCA